This is a non-coding RNA of Pelobates cultripes (western spadefoot toad), 314 nucleotides long. The record is from the annotation of a GenBank genome assembly. NCBI's taxonomy places the organism in Eukaryota, Metazoa, Chordata, Amphibia, Anura, Pelobatidae.
CAAACCCCUUUGUAUCUUACUCUUCCCAGCUCCUUUGUGUGUCUCUUUCCCCCCAGACUCCUCUGUGUUUCUCCCUCACAAGUGACUCUGUGUGUCUCUCUGUCUCCCAUACAAGCCCCUCUGUGCUUCUCUUUCACCCCUUCCUCCAUUUCUGGGUUGCCAAACCAUCUCAAAGGCAACAUAGCUAAUCUGGCAAAUAGCAAUUUACAAAAACAGAAAUUGGCAAAUCUUAUGUUUGACCCUGUGACUUUCCAAAUCACCAUAAAACCUGUACUCGAGGGGUACUGUUGUACUCAUGAGACAUUACUCUACAC